This 253-nucleotide ribosomal RNA is filed under the name uncultured bacterium. RNAcentral's name for it is "partial 16S ribosomal RNA". It matches the Rfam family "Bacterial small subunit ribosomal RNA", at positions 524 to 776 of the family's 1533-position model. The record is from RNAcentral.
UACGUAGGGUGCGAGCGUUAAUCGGAAUUACUGGGCGUAAAGCGUGCGCAGGCGGUUUUGCAAGCCGGAUGUGAAAUCCCCGGGCUUAACCUGGGAAUGGCAUUCGGGACUGCAAGGCUGGAGUGCGGCAGAGGAGACUGGAAUUCCUGGUGUAGCAGUGAAAUGCGUAGAUAUCAGGAGGAAUACCGAUGGCGAAGGCAGGUCUCUGGACCGUAACUGACGCUGAGACACGAAAGCGUGGGUAGCAAACAGG